GAUGAACGCUGGCGGCGUGCUUAACACAUGCAAGUCGAACGGAAAGGCCCUGCUUUUGUGGGGUUCUCGAGUGGCGAACGGGUGAGUAACACGUGAGUAACCUGCCCUUGACUUUGGUAUAACUUCAGGAAACUGGGGCUAAUACCGGAUAGGAGCUCCUGCUGCAUGGUGGGGGUUGGAAAGUUUCGGCGGUUGGGGAUGGACUCGCGGCUUAUCAGCUUGUUGGUGGGGUAGUGGCUUACCAAGGCUUUGACGGGUAGCCGGCAGGAGAGGGUGACCGGGCACCUUGGGCCUGCGAGAGGGACCAGACUCCAAUGGGAGGCAGCAGUGGGGAGUAUUGCACAAUCGGCGGAAGCCUGAUGCAGCAGCGCCGCGUGCGUGAUGACGGCCUUCGGGGUGUAAACCGCUUUCGCCUGUGACGCAGCGUGAGUGACGGUAAUGGGUAAAGAAGCACCGGCUAACUACGUG
RNAcentral lists this ribosomal RNA (468 nucleotides) under uncultured bacterium. RNAcentral describes it as "partial 16S ribosomal RNA". It matches the Rfam family "Bacterial small subunit ribosomal RNA", at positions 28 to 507 of the family's 1533-position model. The record is from RNAcentral.